UGGGGAAUAUUGCACAAUGGGCGCAAGCCUGAUGCAGCCAUGCCGCGUGUAUGAAGAAGGCCUUCGGGUUGUAAAGUACUUUCAGCGGGGAGGAAGGCGAUAAGGUUAAUAACCUUGUCGAUUGACGUUACCCGCAGAAGAAGCACCGGCUAACUCCGUGCCAGCAGCCGCGGUAAUACGGAGGGGUGCGACAAGCUAGUUCGAAAUUCGAAUUACUGGGCGUAAAGCGCACGCAGGCGGUCUGUCAAGUCGGAUGUGAAAUCCCCGGGCUCAACCUGGGAACUGCAUUCGAAACUGGCAGGCUGGAGUCUUGUAGAGGGGGGUAGAAUUCCAGGUGUAGCGGUGAAAUGCGUAGAGAUCUGGAGGAAUACCGGUGGCGAAGGCGGCCCCCUGGACAAAGACUGACGCUCAGGUGCGAAAGCGUGGGGAGCAAACA
Molecule: ribosomal RNA, 436 nt
Filed under: uncultured Enterobacteriaceae bacterium
Lineage: Bacteria; Pseudomonadati; Pseudomonadota; Gammaproteobacteria; Enterobacterales; Enterobacteriaceae
Description: bacterial SSU rRNA
Rfam family: Bacterial small subunit ribosomal RNA
Source: RNAcentral